Molecule: ribosomal RNA, 217 nt
Filed under: Mycetomoellerius sp. B GR-2021
Lineage: Eukaryota; Metazoa; Arthropoda; Insecta; Hymenoptera; Formicidae
Description: partial large subunit ribosomal RNA
Source: RNAcentral
GAAUUUUAUAUAUAGUGUGUUUGUUGAAUUUAGUUUAUGAAUGAGUGCAGGUGUAUAUUUAGUUGGGAGGAUUGUUAAAUUAAUUGAACUUUAAUUAUAAUAAGAAUAUAUAUUGGUAAAGUUGAUUAGGAAGGAGUUUUAUAUUAUAUAGGAUUUAAUUACCUUAGGGAUAACAGCGUAAUAAUUUUAGAAAGAUCGUAUUGAUAAGAUUGAUUGC